RNAcentral lists this ribosomal RNA (329 nucleotides) under uncultured Entrophospora. Its description in RNAcentral is "SSU rRNA". It matches the Rfam family "Eukaryotic small subunit ribosomal RNA", at positions 769 to 1098 of the family's 1831-position model. Lineage: Eukaryota; Fungi; Glomeromycota; Glomeromycetes; Entrophosporales; Entrophosporaceae. The record is from RNAcentral.
GAGUGUUUAAAGCAGGCAUUUUGCUUGAAUACAUUAGCAUGGAAUAAUAAAAUAGGACGGCAUGAUUCUAUUUUGUUGGUUUCUAGGAUCACCGUAAUGAUUAAUAGGGACAGUCGGGGGCAUCAGUAUUCAAUUGUCAGAGGUGAAAUUCUUGGAUUUAUUGAAGACUAACUACUGCGAAAGCAUUUGCCAAGGAUGUUUUCAUUAAUCAGGAACGAAAGUUAGGGGAUCGAAGACGAUCAGAUACCGUCGUAGUCUUAACCAUAAACUAUGCCGACUAGGGAUCGGACGAUGUUAUUUUUUGACUCGUUCGGCGCCUUACGGGAAAC